RNAcentral lists this ribosomal RNA (253 nucleotides) under uncultured bacterium. RNAcentral describes it as "partial 16S ribosomal RNA". It matches the Rfam family "Bacterial small subunit ribosomal RNA", at positions 524 to 776 of the family's 1533-position model. The record is from RNAcentral.
UACGAAGGGGGCAAGCGUUGUUCGGAAUUACUGGGCGUAAAGGGCGCGUAGGCGGCCGAUCAAGUCAGGCGUGAAAUUCCCGGGCUCAACCUGGGGGCUGCGCUUGAUACUGAUUGGCUUGAAUGCGGGAGAGGAUAGUGGAAUUCCCAGUGUAGAGGUGAAAUUCGUAGAUAUUGGGAAGAACACCAGUGGCGAAGGCGGCUAUCUGGCCCGUUAUUGACGCUGAGGCGCGAAAGCGUGGGGAGCAAACGGG